Molecule: ribosomal RNA, 420 nt
Filed under: uncultured bacterium
Lineage: Bacteria
Description: bacterial SSU rRNA
Rfam family: Bacterial small subunit ribosomal RNA
Source: RNAcentral
UAAGGAAUAUUGCUCAAUGGGAGAAAUCCUGAAGCAGCAACGCCGCGUGGAGGAUGAAGGGUCUAUGACUUGUAAACUCCUGUAAAGAAGGAAAAAAUUCCCAUUUGAUGGGAGAUGAUGGUACUUCUGGAGUAAGCCCCGGCUAACUACGUGCCAGCAGCCGCGGUAAUACGUAGGGGGCAAGCGUUGUCCGGAUUUACUGGGUGUAAAGGGUGCUCAGGCGGAUUUGUAAGUCAGAGGUGAAAUCUUACAGCUUAACUGUGAAACUGCCUUUGAUACUGCAAGCCUAGAGUAUGGAAGAGAGUGAUGGAAUAUCUGGUGUAGCAGUGAAAUGCGUAGAUAUCAGAUAGAACACCAAUGGCGAAGGCAGUCACUUGGUCCAUUACUGACGCUAAAGCUCGAAAGCGUGGGUAGCAAACA